ACGGAAGGCAGCAGUGAGGAAUAUUGGUCAAUGGGCGAGAGCCUGAACCAGCCAAGUAGCGUGCAGGAUGACGGCCCUAUGGGUUGUAAACUGCUUUUAACCGGGAAUAACGUUACCUUCGUGAAGGUAAGUGCAUGUACCGGUUGAAUAAGGAUCGGCUAACUCCGUGCCAGCAGCCGCGGUAAUACGGAGGAUUCGAGCGUUAUCCGGAUUUAUUGGGUUUAAAGGGAGCGUAGGCGGGAAGUCAAGUCAGCUGUGAAAUGUAGACGCUCAACGUCUGCACUGCAGUUGAAACUGGUUUUCUUGAGUGCGUAAGAGGCAGGCGGAAUUCGUCGUGUAGCGGUGAAAUGCUUAGAUAUGACGAAGAACUCCGAUUGCGAAGGCAGCUCGCUGGGCCGCAACUGACGCUGAAGCUCGAAGGUGCGGGUAUCAAACAGGAUUAGAUACCCUGGUA
This 454-nucleotide ribosomal RNA is filed under the name uncultured bacterium. RNAcentral's name for it is "partial 16S ribosomal RNA". It matches the Rfam family "Bacterial small subunit ribosomal RNA", at positions 341 to 792 of the family's 1533-position model. The record is from RNAcentral.